Molecule: ribosomal RNA, 1346 nt
Filed under: uncultured bacterium
Lineage: Bacteria
Description: bacterial SSU rRNA
Rfam family: Bacterial small subunit ribosomal RNA
Source: RNAcentral
GGCGGCGUGCUUAACACAUGCAAGUCGAACGGGGAUUACACGGAGAUGCGAUUUCGGUCAAAUCAAGUGCAAUCUUAGUGGCGGACGGGUGAGUAACGCGUGGGUAACCUGCCUUGCACUGGGGGAUAACACUUAGAAAUAGGUGCUAAUACCGCAUAAGCGCACGGUCCUGCAUGGGACAGUGUGAAAAACUCCGGUGGUGCAAGAUGGAUCCGCGUCUGAUUAGCUGGUUGGCGGGGUAAAGGCCCACCAAGGCGACGAUCAGUAGCCGGCCUGAGAGGGUGGACGGCCACAUUGGGACUGAGACACGGCCCAAACUCCUACGGGAGGCAGCAGUGGGGGAUAUUGGACAAUGGGGGGAACCCUGAUCCAGCGACGCCGCGUGAGUGAAGAAGUAUUUCGGUAUGUAAAGCUCUGUCAGCAGGGAAGAAAGCAAUGACGGUACCUGACCAAGAAGCCACGGCUAACUACGUGCCAGCAGCCGCGGUAAUACGUAGGUGGCAAGCGUUAUCCGGAUUUACUGGGUGUAAAGGGCGUGUAGGCGGGACUGCAAGUCAGAUGUGAAAACCACGGGCUCAACCUGUGGCCUGCAUUUGAAACUGUAGUUCUUGAGUACUGGAGAGGCAGACGGAAUUCCUAGUGUAGCGGUGAAAUGCGUAGAUAUUAGGAGGAACACCAGUGGCGAAGGCGGUCUGCUGGACAGCAACUGACGCUGAGGCGCGAAAGCGUGGGGAGCAAACAGGAUUAGAUACCCUGGUAGUCCACGCUGUAAGCGAUGGAUACUAGGUGUGGGGGGACUGACCCCCUCCGUGCCGCAGUUAACACAAUAAGUAUCCCACCUGGGGAGUACGAUCGCAAGGUUGAAACUCAAAGGAAUUGACGGGGGCCCGCACAAGCGGUGGAGUAUGUGGUUUAAUUCGAAGCAACGCGAAGAACCUUACCAGGGCUUGACAUCCCGGCGACCGGUGUAGAGAUACACUUUCUUCUUCGGAAGCGCCGGUGACAGGUGGUGCAUGGUUGUCGUCAGCUCGUGUCGUGAGAUGUUGGGUUAAGUCCCGCAACGAGCGCAACCCUUAUUGUUAGUUGCUACGCAAGAGCACUCUAGCGAGACUGCCGUUGACAAAACGGAGGAAGGUGGGGACGACGUCAAAUCAUCAUGCCCCUUAUGUCCUGGGCCACACACGUACUACAAUGGUGGUUAACAGAGGGAGGCAAAACCGCGAGGUGGAGCAAAUCCCUAAAAGCCAUCCCAGUUCGGAUCGCAGGCUGCAACCCGCCUGCGUGAAGUUGGAAUCGCUAGUAAUCGCGGAUCAGCAUGCCGCGGUGAAUACGUUCUCGGGCCUUGU